GAUGAACGCUGGCGGCGUGCCUAAUACAUGCAAGUCGAGCGAACGGACGAGAAGCUCGCUUCUCUGAUGUUAGCGGCGGACGGGUGAGUAACACGUGGAUAACCUACAUAUAAGACUGGGAUAACUUCGGGAAACCGAAGCUAACACCGGAUGAUAUUUUGAACCGCAUGGUUCAAAAGUGAAAGACGGUCUUGCUGUCACUUAUAGAUGGAACCGCGCUGCAUUAGCUAGUUGGUAAGGUAACGGCUUACCAAGGCAACGAUGCAUAGCCGACCUGAGAGGAUGAUCAGUCACACUGGAACUGAGACACGGUCCAGACUCCUACGGGAGGCAGCAGUGGGGAAUCUUCCGCAAUGGGCGAAAGCCUGACGGAGCAACGCCGCGUGAGUGAUGAAGGUCUUCGGAUCGUAAAGCACUGUUAUUAGGGAAGAACAUAUGUGUAAGUAACUGUGCACAUCUUGACGGUACCUAAUCAGAAAGCCACGGCUAACUACGUG
Molecule: ribosomal RNA, 497 nt
Filed under: uncultured bacterium
Lineage: Bacteria
Description: partial 16S ribosomal RNA
Rfam family: Bacterial small subunit ribosomal RNA
Source: RNAcentral